RNAcentral lists this ribosomal RNA (397 nucleotides) under uncultured Strobilidiidae. Its description in RNAcentral is "partial small subunit ribosomal RNA". It matches the Rfam family "Eukaryotic small subunit ribosomal RNA", at positions 30 to 432 of the family's 1831-position model. Lineage: Eukaryota; Ciliophora; Spirotrichea; Choreotrichida; Strobilidiidae. The record is from RNAcentral.
GCUUGUCUCAAAGAUUAAGCCAUGCAUGUCUCAGUAUAAGCUUUUACACGGCGAAACUGCGAAUGGCUCAUUAAAACAGUUAUCGUUUCUUUGGUGGUUAUUGAUUACAUGGAUAGCCGUGGUAAUUCUAGAGCUAAUACAUGCUGUAAAGCCCGACUUCUCGGAAGGGCCGUAUUUAUUAGAUAACAGACCAGCAGCUUCGGCUAUUGUGGUGAAUCAUAGUAACUAAUCGGAUCGCAUGGGCUAGUCCCGCGACAAACCAUUCAAGUUUCUGCCCCAUCAGCUUUCGACGGUAGUGUAUUGGACUACCGUGGCUUUUACGGGUAACGGAGGAUUAGGGUUCGAUUCCGGAGAGGGAGCCUGAGAAACGGCUACCACAUCUAAGGAAGGCAGCAGG